AUUGAACGCUGGCGGCAGGCCUAACACAUGCAAGUCGAGCGGAUGAAGGGAGCUUGCUCCUAGAUUCAGCGGCGGACGGGUGAGUAAUGCCUAGGAAUCUGCCUGGUAGUGGGGGAUAACGUCCGGAAACGGGCGCUAAUACCGCAUACGUCCUGAGGGAGAAAGUGGGGGAUCUUCGGACCUCACGCUAUCAGAUGAGCCUAGGUCGGAUUAGCUAGUUGGUGGGGUAAAGGCCUACCAAGGCGACGAUCCGUAACUGGUCUGAGGGGAUGAUCAGUCACACUGGAACUGAGACACGGUCCAGACUCCUACGGGAGGCAGCAGUGGGGAAUAUUGGACAAUGGGCGAAAGCCUGAUCCAGCCAUGCCGCGUGUGUGAAGAAGGUCUUCGGAUUGUAAAGCACUUUAAGUUGGGAGGAAGGGCAGUAAGUUAAUACCUUGCUGUUUUGACGUUACCAACAGAAUAAGCACCGGCUAACUUCGUG
RNAcentral lists this ribosomal RNA (484 nucleotides) under uncultured bacterium. Its description in RNAcentral is "partial 16S ribosomal RNA". It matches the Rfam family "Bacterial small subunit ribosomal RNA", at positions 30 to 507 of the family's 1533-position model. The record is from RNAcentral.